UUAAGAAAUAAUGCCAAGAUCCGGUGUACCCUUUAUUAGUUUCCCUGAAUGGAAACAUCUUGCAAAGCUGUAGGCCAGCCUCACAACCAGGAGGUUCACUUGGAUACAGUCAAGCGCUUGAAAAAUAUUGUGCCACCAACCUCCUGAACACUGUAGCUGCCGAAAGAAAAUCUACUGUCUUUCAAGCUAUUUUUCUCCUAUAGGUCUUUUUGGUUUGACCCAUGCUGUCCUAAAGAUGGACCACUUCUCAACCGUCACAUGCAUCCAGCACCUUUUGACCGACCUAUUUCUCUGGUUGGGGAAAUCCGGAUCGCCAGUGCUUCAGAGCUCCUGCAAGCCAUGCUGCCAGGAAUAUGCUGAGCAUGCCCCCUGCGGACCUGGGCGUAAGGUGCUCUAAGGUUUACACCGAGCUGAGAGUGGCUGGAUCACGGGCACCUGGCAUCGUAAUUGCUCCAAGUCCUGGCAUAUUGCCUCUGGGAGGGCAGAACCUGUUUAUGGUUCUGUCAACAGUGUCUGAAAAAUCCUGUUGGGAAAACUAAUUAAAAUAGCUUUGAGAAUUCUUGGGUAAAGCAGAUAUUAUUUUGGCAAGGUGAACACUGCCCUCUAAGUCAUGUUUGGGCUUGCAAACAACUAGGUGGCAUAAUCCAAGUUUCCCCUGGAUUUCCCGGGAUAAUCAGGGUGGAGUCCUGCCUGGCCCAUGGAGGGGACUUAGGUUGGAAGUGGGGAAACAUUUUGAAGCAGGGAAAGACUUGAAGCCCCAGAGAUCCUGGAAGUUAAAAUAACCACUGGGAAUUUUGCAUGAAUGGGAGGCAAAGGGGACAUCCCCUAGUAUGGAACCUGGUACUCAACUAAAGUAUCAGUGAAGGAAGGAAGGAAGGAAGGAAGGAAGGAAGGAAGGAAGGAAGGAGUAAUUGGCCUGUGCCUCUGCACACUUGCCGGGACUGGGGUCUGUGCUUCUGGGAACCUCAAGCUGUAUUUCCCAUUGGCUCUGCCAGCUGGAAAUGCACACUAAUGAAAGGACAACCUGUGUCUUUGAGGCCACCAACCCCCUUCCCUUGAUCACCCUGCCUAUCUCUUCCAGCCUCUCACCAAGCAUUCAUUCAUUUGUUCACAAAAUACCCCUAGGCACCUAAUGGCCCAGACUUUGCGCUAAGCUCCCGAAAGGACCCCGGGAUGUUCACGGGAUGGCACUAUUCGUCAGUGUGGUGCCCUCAGCCUGGUGACACCUGCCUUUGUUACGGGGCCUCUGUGUUGGUUGGAGCCCCUUCCCCGAUCAUCCAGUGUCAACCAGCCCCACCCCUGCGGUAUUUUCCAUUGCUCGUCUGGAUUUCCCUUUGGGGGCGUUUAUUGCAAUAAGUGCAUGUCUAUUUAUUUCUGCAAUUA
This is a long non-coding RNA of Phacochoerus africanus (Common warthog), 1383 nucleotides long. RefSeq lists it as uncharacterized. NCBI's taxonomy places the organism in Eukaryota, Metazoa, Chordata, Mammalia, Artiodactyla, Suidae. The record is from RefSeq and is a predicted model, not a curated record. The transcript is spliced from 3 exons.